This 1017-nucleotide ribosomal RNA is filed under the name uncultured bacterium. RNAcentral describes it as "bacterial SSU rRNA". It matches the Rfam family "Bacterial small subunit ribosomal RNA", at positions 64 to 1076 of the family's 1533-position model. The record is from RNAcentral.
GAGCGGAUGAGAGGAGCUUGCUCCUGGAUUCAGCGGCGGACGGGUGAGUAAUGCCUAGGAAUCUGCCUGGUAGUGGGGGACAACGUUUCGAAAGGAACGCUAAUACCGCAUACGUCCUACGGGAGAAAGCAGGGGACCUUCGGGCCUUGCGCUAUCAGAUGAGCCUAGGUCGGAUUAGCUAGUUGGUGAGGUAAUGGCUCACCAAGGCGACGAUCCGUAACUGGUCUGAGAGGAUGAUCAGUCACACUGGAACUGAGACACGGUCCAGACUCCUACGGGAGGCAGCAGUGGGGAAUAUUGGACAAUGGGCGAAAGCCUGAUCCAGCCAUGCCGCGUGUGUGAAGAAGGUCUUCGGAUUGUAAAGCACUUUAAGUUGGGAGGAAGGGUUGUAGAUUAAUACUCUGCAAUUUUGACGUUACCGACAGAAUAAGCACCGGCUAACUCUGUGCCAGCAGCCGCGGUAAUACAGAGGGUGCAAGCGUUAAUCGGAAUUACUGGGCGUAAAGCGCGCGUAGGUGGUUCGUUAAGUUGGAUGUGAAAUCCCCGGGCUCAACCUGGGAACUGCAUUCAAAACUGUCGAGCUAGAGUAUGGUAGAGGGUGGUGGAAUUUCCUGUGUGGCGGUGAAAUGCGUAGAUAUAGGAAGGAACACCAGUGGCGAAGGCGACCACCUGGACUGAUACUGACACUGAGGUGCGAAAGCGUGGGGGGCAAACAGGAUUAGAUACCCUGGUAGUCCACGCCGUAAACGAUGUCAACUAGCCGUUGGGAGCCUUGAGCUCUUAGUGGCGCAGCUAACGCAUUAAGUUGACCGCCUGGGGAGUACGGCCGCAAGGUUAAAACUCAAAUGAAUUGACGGGGGCCCGCACAAGCGGUGGAGCAUGUGGUUUAAUUCGAAGCAACGCGAAGAACCUUACCAGGCCUUGACAUCCAAUGAACUUUCCAGAGAUGGAUUGGUGCCUUCGGGAGCAUUGAGACAGGUGCUGCAUGGCUGUCGUCAGCUCGUGUCGUGAGAUGUU